CUUUUAAUUUCUAUUAUUUUUAAAGUUUCGCGGUUAUACCCCCAAAUUUCUCCACCUUCCUUUCAUCCUCUUCUCCAUCAUUUGUGAAAUCCUGCUUCAUCAUAGUUUCCUUUCUGCUUGAUCGAUCGCUUCCUGCUUCGAUUUGCUUUGCCUUAUAAUCUUCUUAUCGCGAUGCUCAGUAUAUCAAACCCAGCGCUUUGAUCGAUAAUUGAUCAAGGUACUCAUGGCUCCGUCAAGAAAGUCUAGAAGUGUGAAUAAGCGGUUUUCAUACAUUAAUGAGGCCACUUCUAAUAAAAAUGGGGAGAAUACCAACAAAAGUAGGCAGCGGAAGAGGAAGUUGUCUGACAUGUUAGGACCACAAUGGAGCAAGGAAGAGCUUGAGCGUUUCUACAAGGCAUAUCGUAAGCAUGGGAAAGAUUGGGAGAAGAUAACUGCUACAGUGCGUGACCGGUCUGUGGAAAAUGUAGAAGCCCUUUAUACCAUGAACAGGGCUUAUUUAUCUCUUCCACGAGGGUAUGCUUCUGCAGCUGGACUAAUAGCAAUGAUGACAGAUCAUUACAGUAAUCUGGAAGAAAGUGAAAGUGAACAAGAAACUAAUGAGCCUGUAGUGGCCCAUCAAAAACCUCAAAAGGGUGCUAGAGGAACUAAAGAAUUAGAUGCUUCUCCGGCCCCAGAUCUUGUGCAAUCCCAGUCAGGUGCAUCAAAUUAUGGCUGCUUGUCACUGUUGAAGAAGAGGCGCUCUGGAAGCAGGCCUUGGGCUGUUGGAAAAAGGACACCUCGUGUCCCUGUUUCUUAUUCAUUUGAUAAAGACAACAGGGAGAAGUAUAUUUCACCAAUUCGACAAGGUUUGAAAUUAAAGGGUGAUGCACUGGAUGAUGAUGUUGCUCAUGAGAUAGCAUUAGUAUUAACAGAGGCUUCACAAAAAGCUGGUUCUCCCCAGGUCUCUCAAACACCAAAAAGAAAACCAGAGACACCAUCACCUGUUCGGAAUGGUGAACAUGUGCCUGCUGAAUCAGAGACGACCAGCACCAAGCUUCGUGGCAGUGAAAUGGAUGAGGGUGGUUGUGAAUUAAGCUUGGGAAGAACAGAAGCUGAUUUAGGACAUUAUGUAAGAAAUAAACGUUUUGCGAAGGGGAAGAGAUAUCAUGUGAGGAAGCCAGAAGUGGAAGAAAAUGUAGAUGAUCAUUUGGAUGACUUAAAGGAAGCUUGUAGUGGGACAGAGGAAGGACAGAAGCUGGGUGCUGUCAAAGGAAAACUAGAAAUGGAGGGUUUGGGUACAAAACUCGUAAGGUCCUCUAGUAAGGGUCCAAGAAAGAGAAGCAAAAAAGUUCUCUUUGGAGAAGGUGAAGCUGAUGCCUUUGAUGCAUUGCAAGCUUUGGCAGAUUUAUCACUGAGAUUGCCAGAAGCACCUGUUGAUACAGAGUCAUCUGUUCAUGUUGAGGAACAGAAGAAUGAAAUCGUUUCCAAGACCAAGUUGAAAGGGAAUCAUUCAACUCCCAGAGUUAAAGUUGCCUCGAAAACAACUAAACAAGGAAAAGGUUUCCCUCAUGUUGUUAAAUCAAUUCCAGAAGUGAAGGAUGGAGACCAUCAGAUUAAUGUUGGGAUUCGGAAAAGAAGAAAGAAGUCUUUGCCAUCUAAGAUUUUAGAAAAUGAAGAACGUAUUGAUUCUCAUCUGGGUGAGUUCCAAAAGGUUGAGGGCACUGAUGAUGUAAGUCACUUAAUAAACAAAGCCAAAUGCUCUCAUGAUUCUGCAUACCAGAAACAAGGGAAAUUGAUGAAAUCUCAAGAACUUACUUCCACCGACCAUGGAAGGGAUUCAAAUGAUUCAGCUCCAUCUUCCAUACAGGUUUUAUCUUCAAACCAAUUCAACUUACCUACCAAAGUGAGGAGUAGGCGUAAAGUCAAGUCACCAAAACCUUCUAUUGAUAAAGAUGCUCCGUCUUCUGAGAACAUUGUAAAUGGCCAAUACAAUAUUGCCAUUCCUUCCCUCAAUGACAAUGCAUUCAAUCUUAAGAAAAAGCUUUCUAAUUGCCUUUCCUGGUAUCAAGUUCGGAGGUGGUGUGUUUUUGAAUGGUUCUACAGUGCAAUUGAUUACCCAUGGUUCGCUAAAAGGGAGUUUGUGGAAUACCUGGAUCAUGUUGGAUUGGGCCAUAUUCCUAGAUUAACUCGUGUUGAAUGGGGUGUUAUAAGAAGUUCCCUUGGUAAACCACGUAGAUUUUCAGAGCAGUUUUUAAAGGAAGAGAAAGAGAAGCUUAAUCAAUACCGUGAAUCUGUCAGAAACCAUUACACAGAACUUCGUGCUGGUACUAGGGAUGGACUUCCUACUGAUUUGGCUCGACCUUUAUCUGUUGGACAACGUAUUAUUGCUCUUCACCCUAGAACGAGAGAGAUUCAUGAUGGAAGUGUACUUACUGUUGAUCAUAACAGAUGCCGAGUUCAGUUUGACGAACCUGAACUAGGGGUUGAAUUUGUCAUGGAUGUUGAUUGCAUGCCAUUAAAUCCAUUGGAAAAUAUGCCUGCAUCUCUUACCAGGCACAAUAUUUUUUUCAAUAAAUUUAUUGAGAACUUAAAUGACAUCAAAAUGAAUGGGCAACCGAUGGAAAGGAAGGUGGAAGGAUACAUAAAACUUGCUCCAUGUGAGAAUCUGGAGAAUGGGACUGGUUUUCCACAUACUUCUCCAUCAACUCAUCUUAUUAGCAAUUUAUUUCAGCAUGCAAAGGGCGGUUCAACAAAUUCUACUAUGCAAGUUAGCGUCGAGUCAGGUGAACCUGUUAUUGCUCAACCUUUUAUUCUUGCACAUGUCCAAGCAAAGGAAGCUGAUAUCCAAGCUCUUUCUGAGUUGACUCGUGCUCUUGACAAGAAGGAGGCUGUGGUUUCUGAGUUGAAGCGCUUGAAUGAUGAGGUGGAAAACCAGAAGAAUGGAGAAAACUCCCUAAAUGAUUCUGAACUUUUUAAGAAGCAUUAUGCUGCUGUACUUUUGCAGUUAAAUGAAGUCAAUGAACAGGUCUCUUCUGCUCUCUAUUGCUUGAGGCAACGUAACACAUAUCAAGGAAAUAACCCACACAUCUGGUUGAAGCCCAUAAUUUGUAUAGGUGAACCAGCUGGGAGCUGUGGCUCGGUUGACCAUUCUGCAGAUGAGACCCAAGAACCUGGAUCUCAUGUGUCUGAGAUUGUUGAAAGUUCAAGAGCAAAAGCUCAGACAAUGGUUGAUGCAGCUAUGCAGGUUGGACGCUAUUUUGACAUUUCCUGUUUGCGUGUCCGAGUUCUUUGUCUAGACUACAGCACUGUCAUCUUUGAAGAAGGGAGGAAGUGGCUUUGAGAGUAUUGAAGAGGCUAUAGAUUUUGUAAAUAAUCAACUUUCAGUAGAUGAUUUAAGCACAGCAAGCAUGCAAACCUCUACCACUGCAAAUUUAGCACACAGCAGUCUGGCUUCUCAGGAUCAGCCAAGUUCCUGUGCAACAAAUGUGGGGACAAACAACCAUGCUCCUGGUACUCACUUGGACCUUAUUUCUGACCAAAAUGAAGCACAAAUCCCUUCAGAACUCAUUACACAAUGUGUAGCUACUUUGCUUAUGAUUCAGAAAUGUACAGAACGGCAGUUUCCGCCAAGUGAUGUUGCCCAGGUACUAGAUUCUGCAGUUACAAGUUUGAAGCCAUGUUGUUCACAAAAUCUUCCAAUAUAUGCAGAUAUUCAGAAAUGCAUGGGAAUUAUUAGGAAUCAGAUAUUGGCACUCAUACCUACAUAGCUCAUAAUAAUUGCUAUAUUUUUUUUCUCGGUUACUUCCCUUCCUAAGUGUAUAAUAUCUGAGUGGAAUCAGUUGCCUGAAAAAUGACAAAUUGGCAUGUAUUCUCCAUUUUUUUUCCCUAUAUCUUGUUUGGUAAGCUAAACAGGAGUCUGUACAUGUACCAAAAUACCUGUGGUUCCACGAUACUGCUGUCAAUAUAAGAAUCAGCAUCUCUUAUUCUUUGUGCCCCCUAGCGGUGGUCA
RNA transcript from Manihot esculenta (cassava), 3988 nucleotides. It is a transcript of the gene named protein ALWAYS EARLY 3, with no coding region annotated. The transcript has 20 exons. Lineage: Eukaryota; Viridiplantae; Streptophyta; Magnoliopsida; Malpighiales; Euphorbiaceae. The record is from RefSeq and is a predicted model, not a curated record.